RNAcentral lists this microRNA precursor (70 nucleotides) under Dipodomys ordii (Ord's kangaroo rat). RNAcentral describes it as "miRNA (ENSDORG00000020044.2)". It matches the Rfam family "mir-383 microRNA precursor family". The record is from RNAcentral. Lineage: Eukaryota; Metazoa; Chordata; Mammalia; Rodentia; Heteromyidae.
CUCAGAUCAGAAGGUGAUUGUGGCUUUGAGUAGAUCUUAAUCAGCCACAGCACUGCCUGGUCAGAAAGAG